Molecule: ribosomal RNA, 465 nt
Filed under: Vreelandella stevensii
Lineage: Bacteria; Pseudomonadati; Pseudomonadota; Gammaproteobacteria; Oceanospirillales; Halomonadaceae
Description: partial 16S ribosomal RNA
Rfam family: Bacterial small subunit ribosomal RNA
Source: RNAcentral
CCUACGGGCGGCAGCAGUGGGGAAUAUUGGACAAUGGGCGAAAGCCUGAUCCAGCCAUGCCGCGUGUGUGAAGAAGGCCUUCGGGUUGUAAAGCACUUUCAGUGGGGAAGAAAGCCUUGGGGCUAAUACCCUCGAGGAAGGACAUCACCCACAGAAGAAGCACCGGCUAACUCCGUGCCAGCAGCCGCGGUAAUACGGAGGGUGCGAGCGUUAAUCGGAAUUACUGGGCGUAAAGCGCGCGUAGGCGGUCUGAUAAGCCGGUUGUGAAAGCCCCGGGCUCAACCUGGGAACGGCAUCCGGAACUGUCAGGCUAGAGUGCAGGAGAGGAAGGUAGAAUUCCCGGUGUAGCGGUGAAAUGCGUAGAGAUCGGGAGGAAUACCAGUGGCGAAGGCGGCCUUCUGGACUGACACUGACGCUGAGGUGCGAAAGCGUGGGUAGCAAACAGGGUUAGAUACCCUAGUAGUC